This 404-nucleotide ribosomal RNA is filed under the name uncultured bacterium. RNAcentral's name for it is "partial 16S ribosomal RNA". It matches the Rfam family "Bacterial small subunit ribosomal RNA", at positions 28 to 526 of the family's 1533-position model. The record is from RNAcentral.
GACGAACGCUGGCGGCGUGCCUAAUACAUGCAAGUCGAACGCAGUGGGGACGGGUGAGUAACACGUGGGUAACCUCCCAUCAGAGGGGAUAACACUUGGAAACAGGUGCUAAAACCGAUACUGAUGGAUGGACCCGCGGUGCGUUAGCUCGUGGGUGGGGUAACGGCUCACAAAGGCCACGAUGCAUAGCCUACCUUGGAGGGUGAUCGGCAACACUUGGACGGAGACACGGCCCAGACUCCUACGGGAGGCAGCAGUAGGGAAUCUGCGGCAAUGGACGAAAGUCUGACCGAGCAACGCCGAGUGAGUGAAGAAGGUUGUCGGAUCGUAAAACUCUGUUGUUAGAGAAGCGGUAUCUAACCAGAAAGCCACGGCUAACUACGUGCCAGCAGCCGCGGGAAUAC